UUGAUCCUGGCUCAGAAUCAACGCUGGCGGCGUGCCUCAGACAUGCAAGUCGAACGCGAAAGGCCCCUUCGGGGGCCGAGUAGAGUGGCGCACGGGUGAUUAACACGUGGAUAAUUUGCCUUCGGGUGGGGAAUAACAACCGGAAACGGUUGCUAAUACCGCAUAAUGCAGCGGCAUCUAUGAUGACAGUUGUUAAAGCUGGGGAUGGCUUCGGCCACCUCGCGCCUGAAGAGAAGUCCGCGGCAGAUUUGCUUGUUGGUAGGGUAAUGGCCUACCAAGGCGACGAUCUGUAGCCGGCCUGAGAGGGCGGUCGGCCACACUGACACUGACAUACGGGUCAGACUCCUACUGGAGGCAGCAGUCGGGAAUUUUGGGCAAUGGGCGAAAGCCUGACCCAGCUACGCCGCGUGAAGGAUGAAGUUUUUCGGAAUGUAAACUUCACAAGAAUGUGAAGAAUAAGUCUUGGCUAAUAUCCAAGACGAUGACGGUACCAUUUGCAUGCUCCGGCUAACUCCGUGCCAGCAGCCGCGGUAAUAAGGGCGU
This 543-nucleotide ribosomal RNA is filed under the name uncultured Acidobacteriota bacterium. RNAcentral's name for it is "bacterial SSU rRNA". It matches the Rfam family "Bacterial small subunit ribosomal RNA", at positions 13 to 532 of the family's 1533-position model. The record is from RNAcentral. Lineage: Bacteria; Pseudomonadati; Acidobacteriota.